This 406-nucleotide ribosomal RNA is filed under the name uncultured bacterium. RNAcentral describes it as "partial 16S ribosomal RNA". It matches the Rfam family "Bacterial small subunit ribosomal RNA", at positions 30 to 526 of the family's 1533-position model. The record is from RNAcentral.
AUUGAACGCUGGCGGCAGGCCUAACACAUGCAAGUCGAACGAGUGGCGGACGGGUGAGUAAUGUCUGGGAAACUGCCUUAUGGAGGGGGAUAACUACUGGAAACUGUAGCUAAUACCGCGUACCAUCGGAUGUGCCCAAAUGGGAUUAGCUAGUUGGGGGGGUAACGGCUCACCAAGGCGACGAUCCCUCGCUGGUCUGAGAGGAUGACCAGCCACACUGGAACUGAGAAAAGGUCCAGACUCCUGCGGGAGGCAGCAGUGGGGAAUAUUGCACAAGGGGGGCAAGCCUGACGCAGCCAUGCCGCGUGGAUGAAGAAGGCCUUCGGGUUGUAAAGUACUUUCAGCGAGGAGGCGUUAAUCACAGAAGAAGCACCGGCUAACUCCGUGCCAGCAGCCGCGGUAAUUC